UUCCGGUCUAGGGGUAAGAUACUUGCCUCUAGAUUCGGCCAUCCGGGUUCGAUUCCCGGGCAAUGCACGUGGCAUUGCCGCUACCUGACCGCUUGGAACAGCGUGAGAGUUCCGGUUAGCACCUUGGUCCACUGGAUGUGGUGCUUAACCCUUGGCUUAACCCAAAACCAACCAACCAAACAACUACUGAAUAUUGAUUCAGUCUGGACCAAUCUGAAAAAUAACAAAAUAUUGCUGGGUGAAGACACAACUGCAUCAAGAAACUUUUCAACAAUGGCAUGCAAUAGCUAUUUGGCUCCUUCUCCAGAACAGUCUUUAGAAGCUGAGGCGGAAGAAGUUACAGAGCCACAAGAUGGUGAACUUAGAGAGGCCUCAAGAAAUGAGACCACCACUGAGAUGCAUUCAAAACCAAGAGGACAACUGGCCACUAUGAAACUCAAUGACACUAAGGCAGGAAUGGAAGGACUUGAUACUGACAAGAUAAAUCAGAUUAUUGAGGAGGCAUCGAGAGGUUCCAAGUUCUACAACCACAAGAAGCAACGGCAGGAGAAGAUCGACGAGCGGAUUCGGCGAAUGCUCGAGCUCAAAGAUUCGUUCACUCCUGAACAGAUUGCCCGAGCAGAGGCCCAGAUGGACGCGCUGACGGCCCACCUGGAGCAGUCACGUGACCUGAGCCGGUUCAUUGUGCACGUGGACAUGGACGCCUUCUACGCUGCCGUCGAAAUGCGAGACCGGCCCGAGCUAAGGGACGUACCGAUGGCUGUCGGCAGUAACAGUAUGCUGAGCACCUCCAACUACGCCGCACGAAAGUUCGGUGUGCGGGCCGCCAUGCCCGGCUUCAUCGGCCGCAAACUGUGCCCCCAGCUGGUGAUCGUGCCGUGUGACUUUGACAAGUACCGCGCCGCCAGCCAGCUGGUGCAGCAGGUGAUGGCCAGGUACGACCCGGACUUUUCGAUGGUGUCUCUGGACGAGGGCUACCUGGACAUCACGGACCGAGUGGCCACUGAGAUGGACGGAGACACUGGAGACCAGUCGGAGGACGAGGUGGCUCAGAGACUGGUCAGGGAGAUGCGGGCCGAGAUCUGCCGGCUGACGCGGCUCACCGCCAGCGCUGGUAUUGCCGCCAACGGCAUGCUGGCCAAAAUCUGCUCGGACCAAAACAAACCGGACGGCCAGUUCUUCCUGCCCCGCGAGCGGCGCGCCGUGCUCGACUUUCUGCGCGAGCUGCCCGUUCGGAAGGUAAGCGGCAUCGGCAACGUGUUAUCUCAGCAGCUGGCGGCGCUGGAGGUGACGCGCUGCGGGGAACUCCUCGAGCGCCGCGGCCUGGUGCGACUCUUGUUCUCUGAGUGUGCCCAGCUGAGUCUGCUGCGCGCCGGACUGGGUGCCGACCCGCCCGGGGUGGGGCGGGACGAGGACUCCCACCAGAAGUCUGUCAGCACGGAGACGACAUUCGCGGCUACCGCAGACCCCGCGCAGCUGUCUGAGCUGCUGGGAGAGCUGUGUCAGCAGCUGUCCGAAGACCUCCGCCGCAAGGGCCUGCGCGGGCGAACUGUCACGCUGAAACUCAAGACGAGUUCGUUUGUGGUGCGAUCACGAGCCACCACACUGGCCGAACCGACCUCAGCGGCGGCUGCGCUGCUCUCCGCCACCCGGCCGGCGCUGGCCCGCGAGCUGGCGGCAGGUGAACCUCUGCGGCUGCUCGGGGUGCGUGCGUCGGCCCUGGUGGCCGCUGAGGUUGCCGCCGGCCGACGCCAGGCCACCCUGACCGAGAUGACUGGCCGCGCCGCCGCGCCUCGACAUGAAUGUCCGGUCUGUGGACGAACUGCUGGGUCCCUGGCGGAGCUGUCUGCUCAUGUGGAGCAAUGUCUAGAUGGGGAGGCGGGCGGUGGGGGAGAGCAGAGUGAGGGACGGCCUACGGGGACGGAUGACUGUGCUGCUGAGAGCGAGAGUGGUAAUGGUGGAGCUAUAGAGACUUCUGGAGGUGAUGCUGCGGAGUGUGGGCCGACGAAGGAGGAAACUGUGCUGUCUGUAGGCUCACCUCAACCCUCCAGCUGUGAUAAUGUUUCUGAAGACCCUAUCAGUCACGCACCUGCGAAUGGAAUUAGUGAUCCCGCUGCAUGUGUGGGACCGUCAUCUGCCAGCGACGGGGAUCGACUUCAGUUGGGUAAUGUAGAGGAUACUACUCCGGCUUCUGCUGCAGAGACGGCCUGUGGCGGCCCCUCAGCGGCCUCGUGUCCUGUCUGUGGCCGCCCCAUGCCCGAGGAACUAGAGCUCAUCAACCGCCACCUGGAUGAGUGUCUGAACCAGAAGUUAUUGUCUCGGUUAACAGAUGGCGGGCCGGUCGGCGGCCAGAAGCGGCCGCCAGCACCGCACUCUGGAUUGCCUCGGACCAAACAUAAGCGGAUCGACUCGUUCUUUACUGCUGUCAAACGAUCGUGAUUAUGAAUGCGAGUGAAUGAAGCGGGCUUGCCUGAAAGAGUCGUUUUAGGCAGAUAUUGAGUGAUAGAUUGCGAGUUGUGUAGGUAUACCUAUGUUUGAUUCAGUUUAUGCUUGUAUUUGUUUAGGCGCUUGAUUCAUGCCUUACUCAUAACGGUAAUGUAUUUUUCAUACGCUUUAAAGUUUGUAGUCGUUGGCGUUUUGACGUGUGUCGUCAACAUUGCCUUUUGCUUCGUGAUAUCUGGCCUAAAUAUUAUGUUAUCGUCGACAUUUGACAGAGCUUGACUGUAACUUGCAAGCACCGAACUUGCGCUGUCAUUGGGUAGUUUUUGCUGAUAGGUUUAUUCUGCUGAAACCCUUUCGUAUUCAAGUGAUAUCUUUGAAGAAUACGAUACUGUGUAUUGCUGCUGGACUUGUAUGGCCAUUUGACAUGUCAAUAUUGUGUGGAAAAUACGAUGCAAUGAAGGUAAAUAAAGGAUAGAGGAUACCUGGAA
RNAcentral lists this unclassified non-coding RNA (2930 nucleotides) under Amphibalanus amphitrite. RNAcentral's name for it is "dNA polymerase kappa-like, transcript variant X5". Lineage: Eukaryota; Metazoa; Arthropoda; Thecostraca; Balanomorpha; Balanidae. The record is from RNAcentral.